UUAAAAUAAUUUUAUUUUUAUUUGUAAAUUAGUUAAUUUAUUAGUUUGUUAUUAUUAAAUAGUACCUUUUGUAUUAGGGUAAUUUAAUUUAUUAAAUUAUUUAUAUUCCCGAAUUGAGAUGACCUAUUUAGGUAUUAUUUUAUUUGUUUUAUAAAAUUUAUUAAUACUUAAUUUGUAAUUAUAAGUUAUUCGAUUCUCAUUUAUAUCUGGUUUCUUUAGAUUAAAUUUAAUUUUGGAAUAUUUUUAAUUUUAUUUAUUAUUUUUAUUCUUAUUUUAUAAUGGAUAAUCAUUAUAUUUAAAUAUAAUUUUGAUUUAUAAAUUUUAAUAAACUUUUAAAUUUUGUAUUAAGUUUUUAAUAAAUUCAAUUUUGUUAUUUUUAUUUAUUUUAAUUUAUUUAAUUAUAAAGUUUAUUUAAUUAAUAAUUUUUAUUUUAAAUAAUGAUUUAAUUAGUAUAAUAUUUAUUUAAUUAUAUUUGAAUUCGACAAUUAUAAUUUCUAACUGUUUACCAAAAACAUUUCUUUGAGUUAAAAUUUCAAAGUAAGUUCUGCCCUAUGAAUAUUUAAAUGGCUGCAGUAUUUUAACUGUACAAAGGUAGCAUAAUAAUUAGUCUUUUAAUUAAGGGCUAGUAUGAAUGAAUAAAUAAGAAAUUUGUUAUAAUUUAAUUAAUU
Molecule: ribosomal RNA, 668 nt
Filed under: Halictophagus calcaratus
Lineage: Eukaryota; Metazoa; Arthropoda; Insecta; Strepsiptera; Halictophagidae
Description: partial 16S large subunit ribosomal RNA
Source: RNAcentral